This is a long non-coding RNA of Mercenaria mercenaria, 1938 nucleotides long. RefSeq lists it as uncharacterized. The record is from RefSeq and is a predicted model, not a curated record. NCBI's taxonomy places the organism in Eukaryota, Metazoa, Mollusca, Bivalvia, Venerida, Veneridae. The transcript has 4 exons.
UAUUACGGUAUGUCAGUAUCAGCAAUCGCCAAUUAACACAAUCUAAAAAUAGCACAGUACACACCUGUUUGCAGAAUGUCAUCAGUGCGUGACCUUGUUAAACUCUUAUCAAUAUACCAGUAGAGUGAUAAAUUACGUCAGGCACAGUGUGUAAUUAGGGAUUAAGUUUGAUAUAGGAAACCAUUAGCUUGGAAUUUUGGAUUUCCGGGAGAAAUAAUUGAUUUCCGUAUGUCCGGGAAAUGGACAAAAAAUCCGUGAGACUCCCGGACGAUCCGGGAAACUUGACAUGUAUGAUGUAGUUGCAGUCUGUCUUUGGAAGCUGUAGAAAUAACAAGAAAGAGGCUGACAUAGUGUUUUGGUAGGGAAAAGUUGUUUGAGUAUGUACAUGUACAGUUGUUUGACCUGUCUUACCCUGUGGCAGUCCAAGAAGAUGUUACCAUUAUGAAAAAUGCAGGAGAACUUGAAGACAAUUGUUAGUGCAGAAGGGACAUAAAAGUUAUGACAAAAGUAACAGAUAUAAAUAAGAAGUGCUACAAGUGUGUUGUCAUGUGAAAUGGAAUUUACCCCAACUGUGCUGCAAGAUGUAUAUUCAAGUGCAAGACAGCCAUGCACCAGCUGUAAACUGAGAUGGACCCAUAUAAUAAAUAUGUUGACUUUUCUAUGUAUUAUCAUCUGUACAGAAUGUGUUCAUGACAAGACUGUAUACAUAUAUUGUUAAAUCAUUUUUAUUUCCAUUAUUGCAUGCAUGUAAGAAGCAAGCAUUUAACAAUUGCAUUCAUAGAAGUGUUAAAAUGUGAUCAAUCUAAUUUAAAGAAACACAUUUAAUUGGACUUUUUAAGUUUCAUAGUAUUUGUGGUGGAGACUGACCCAGUCAUUCAGCAACUUAUACUGUCUGUGUGUCAUUUCUUGUAUGUUAUAGUUUUCUUAAUAAUACAUUAACUGUCAAAGUUAUGGUAAGAUGAACUCAUUCAUCACUUGUAGAUUAAUGUUAAAGCAGUUCAACAUUUUAACAUAAGUUAACUAAUAUUCUAUUUAACCACAGUUGUCACAUAUUUUCAUAUAAAUAUUUGUAUAAUACAGUCUAAUCUAAUCUACAUAUGAUGUUCCACAAUUUUUUAGUUAUAUUUUAUGUUGAUAUUUUAUGUUGUUUUCAUGUCUCAACAUAUAAUUACUAUCAUCAAAGAAACUUAAGUAUUUUACAAUUUGGUUGGUAUAAAUGGUUGUUUUGUUUAUAUAUUUUAUUUUUUUCCAUCCAGGAGAAUAAAGAAAUGUACAUUUCAAAAUAUCUCAUCAUUCUAGAUAAGUACACUACAUAAUCAAGAUAAAAGAAAUAAAAACAAAAUAUGUUGGUGGAAUUUUAUUUUCAAAAAUUUGAUAUACAGUCUUUGUAGUAUUUACUUCUUUAGAUAUGUUGGACUGAAAUGGGAAUAACAACAUACUUUAAAUUUUUGUAGUCAUAAGUUAAUAUGGGAAUUAUUAACUUAACUUAAAAAGAUUUUAUCUCACUGUUAUGCCAUCUGAGCUUUAAUAUUUUUCAACAUUGUCAUUGGCAACAAGGAUCAAAAUUAUUUGUUGUGUAUACCUUGCAUUCAUGUGUGAUAAAUGCUUUUAUGGUAUUCUUUAAUAUAAUUUAUGCUUUUCGUCUUACCAUGGAUUAAAAAAAUAUGAAUUUAUUUGUCUGAAAAUUAAGGUAAAAAUACUGACUGAUUAAAUUGCAAUAUAAGAAAGCUUAUUUGAGAUAAAGGGAGGUAAUUCCAUAAAAAAAAUAUGUAGAAUGUAGAUGAUAAAUGUAAUGAAGGGAGGUAAUAAAAUAUUGUGAAGUUAUUAGUCUUCAUUUCUUUGAUGAGCUAAUUAAUUGUUUUACAUUUUGGUUUAUUAACUACAAGUAUGACCUAACAUGUGUACCUGUCCUGAAGGAAAAUAAAAUAGGUUGUUUGA